AUACUUACCUGGCAGGGGAAAUUCCAUGAUCACGAAAGUGGUUUUCCCAGGUCGAGGCUUAGCUAUUGCACUCCAGAUGUGCUGACCCCUGCGAUUUCCCCAAAUGUGGGAAACUUGAAUGCAUAAUUUGUGGUAGUGGGGGACUGCAUUCACACACACACACA
Molecule: small nuclear RNA, 164 nt
Organism: Macaca fascicularis (crab-eating macaque)
Lineage: Eukaryota; Metazoa; Chordata; Mammalia; Primates; Cercopithecidae
Gene: U1
Rfam family: U1 spliceosomal RNA
About the family: U1 is a small nuclear RNA (snRNA) component of the spliceosome (involved in pre-mRNA splicing). Its 5' end forms complementary base pairs with the 5' splice junction, thus defining the 5' donor site of an intron. There are significant differences in sequence and secondary structure between metazoan and yeast U1 snRNAs, the latter being much longer (568 nucleotides as compared to 164 nucleotides in human).
Source: Ensembl